RNAcentral lists this long non-coding RNA (449 nucleotides) under Ananas comosus (pineapple). RNAcentral describes it as "long non-coding RNA (ACOM_LNC010381)". The record is from RNAcentral. Lineage: Eukaryota; Viridiplantae; Streptophyta; Magnoliopsida; Poales; Bromeliaceae.
ACAAUCUAAGCCUUCUGAACUUAAUCAAAUUAUGUAUCUUCACCACAAAUGAUCUUUUCUUCAUACCUUAGGUGUCGAUCUUUCCAAAUGAGUCUUCGUCCUCCAAUUUGAAUCUUUUCUCAAAAUCUUCUGCGAUCAACUCUUCAAGACUCCAAACAACUUUACGAAAUUCGCCAACCUAUAAAAUCCUUAACAUCUCCCCUAUACCGUUCAAGGCUCAACAAACAGUACAAUACAAAAGGUUCCAAAUAGGAACAGUAUUCGUACAAUGAUUGCAUAAGGAAGGUAUCGAACAAUAUAACACAUCCUAUGUUAUUACAAGCAUUCCCAUUAGAUUCAUUUUUACAUCACACUCACAUAAUACAUUUUAUGACUUCCAAAUACAAUCAAAUUACUACAUCAUUUGUUUACAAGUUUUAGUACAUCUUGUUCUUUUCAUUUCCCUCUAC